UAAAUGUAAUUCAUUUCCUUGCAACAUUUAUCUUAAUAUCGCCCCAGAUGCUCCUAAAAGUGAGAGUCUCGGCUUUUCUCAGUGAUCGCAACAGUUACCGUAACUAUAGCACGAAUCGCGCACCUUGAAUAUAGCGACGGCUCAUUUGACCACGGAAAAGUAAACGGCGGUUCAUUUGACCGUGGUGACACACCGGAGCAAACGGCAACUGUAGCUUGUUUGAUCCUUUCGGUAAUUAAUCUUACUGCAUCUAUUUAUGACAAUGAGUAGCACAUGUGUACAGCGAGCGGCGCUACAAUAAGUAUAGUGAAUUUUACUGUCUUGUCGUCUGCGUUAGAUUAAAGAUUAUGACACAAUAAAAAUGUGCUACCACUAGCAUCAUAAUGGCUCAGAGAACUUUCCUUUUACGAUGCAAACAAAUCGUUAAUGAGUGUACUCGACUUCUACAAGGGGACAGUCCACCAGAUGACGCAUUUCAAACAGUUCUAACAAGAAUGGAAACCCUUAAACGCUGUCUGGAGUGCUCAAGAGGGAGGUUGAUGGAUGCAACAGCAGUACAAGACAUCCUAGAAAACAUUGAGAAAUAUACUCAGGAGGUCAAGGAAAUGCAACAGGGGGCUCAACAAGUGCUUAUAGACACAAGCUGUUACGGCGAUAAAGAGGCACGUGAUGGCUGGACUGUCAUGCGAGGUGGUGUCAGCAAAAGUAAAACUCACAAGUCAUAGAGUCAAUUGACUCUCUGCAUAUUCGUUGAGCUGAGGGCUGCUUGAAGUGCUGUUUCUGUUGUAAUAGAGGUGAGGUCAGGAAAAUAACUUUUCUUAAAUAUGACAUAUAUAGAUGCUUCAGUCGAACAAGUCUGUCACAAACAAGUAAUUCCUUUUCCAAUAGAUGUGUUUUGAUCAUUUAUCAUUAUCAAACAUGUGAUCACAUGACUUUUACUGGCUAAUGAAUUAUGCCUUCUACAUUAAACAAUUACUGUCUUUUUGUCCUCUACAGAUUAACGUGCACACGCAUCAUAGACCAGAAGCACAAGUGGCCAUUGGUUUUAAUGCUGUCAACUAGGGCUCAAGCAUGCAUUAAAGAGUCCAUUACCUAAGAUGAUGUGGUUGUUAUUGCUCCUGAUACAAAGUUUUCGGUGUGUACACUUAAUGUCACUUUUCACAAAGACAAAUUCUGUAACAUCUGUUGUCUCUGUUUGAUUAUAGCAGGUAAUGUUUAUAUUAGUGUUUAGAAAGAUAAAGAAGGUACAGUACUGGGUUGUAUAGCACCGACGCCUGUGUGGUCACGUGUAACACUUGACUGAAGUAUUUCAAAUAGAUUUCAGUAUUCCCCAGUAAAUAAAAAAAACUCUACAAAUGUCCA
RNAcentral lists this long non-coding RNA (1362 nucleotides) under Betta splendens (Siamese fighting fish). RNAcentral describes it as "lncRNA (ENSBSLG00000008575.1)". The record is from RNAcentral. Lineage: Eukaryota; Metazoa; Chordata; Actinopteri; Anabantiformes; Osphronemidae.